GUCGGGGCUCUAGAUGUCUGUCAGUAAGAUGGAUGCAGGCUAUACUGAUAACAGACUGGAAAAGAAGCACGGGGGUUUUUGCCGAGUUUGUCCUUGUGUAAACCUGGGUCGUUCCUGAUUGAGAUCGCUGACUUCAUGAACAUCAGAAUCGGAAUGUUUGCCGAGGUAGCAGCAUGCAGCGACCAUCACUUUCACUCUCAGUGAUAACAAGACUUCUGUGCUUUCACCUCUUGGAACUGUCAAUGUAUUAUCCGUCUUAAUGUUUCCUAUGCUUAUUUAGCAUGAACUUCUCUGACUUUUGCAAGCUUGUUGAGUUACGUCAUUCCAAGUUUCACUUUUCUGUUGGCAGUUAUCUUCGGGAUGUGGAAACUGAAAAACUACAAGUCCCCGAUGAUGGGCUAAGGUUUUUGGUGCAGUUAUUUGUGGUGGAGGGUCAUUUGCUAAGGAAAGCUGGAUGAAAGGGACUGUUGCUAUGGUUUCUUGCUAACCGGUUCUGGGGCAAUUCAUCCUCCACCGUGAUUAUACUACUGUAUCUGAUGAUGGUACUAGCACUUGUGGGCAAGGCAAGUCAGGAUCCUUGAUUAAAAGCAUUUCUACGUGAUCAAUUAGUCGAGCAUAAACCUAACCUUAACGCAGAUAAGGACCAAGCUGACGAGGUACCUAGUAAGCCAGACAUCAGUAUAGAUUAUGACAAAGCUGAGGUUCGAAGAAAAUUUUGGUGGCGUAUUGCUUCUACGGUGGGCACUGUCUCGUCUGUGAUAAUGGCCGGAGGUUCUGACCAGAGAAUGAUGACUUUGCAAUUUCAUUUUCGGUUAUGGCAUUGGCUGGUUUAACCUUUGCGUUAGGAAAAAGCUUUUACUACUCCGACAAACCAACUGGAAGCCCUCUUUUCGUUAUUUAUAGAGUUCUUAAGGCAGCUUUUGUGAAGCGUCACCUGCAACACGCUCGUGAACCCAAUGACUACUAUAUAAAUGAUAGUGGUGGAUUGCUUCUAUUGCCCGACAUUGGAAUAAUCAGGUGGCUGGACAAAGCUGUUCUUUUAGAGACAUCCAAGUCCCUCUGAGCUGAAGAACAGGAGCAAAACGGGAGGCUUUUCCCAGUCCGAGAUGUGCAACGAGUAAAGCAACUUCUUGCAUUGCUUCCUAUGUGGACAGCACUCCCCAUCCACGGCCUCGUUCUGGCAACGGGUACGACUUUCUUUGUUGUGCAAAGUGAAAGCCUCGAUCCUGAUCCGGUUUUGUCUAUAAAUGUUCUGUUUCUACUUCAGGGUUUCGUAACAGUUAUAGUUACAUACGUCCAUGACUUUUUCGUAUCCGGAUGGAUUAAAAAACUUCCGAUGCAUCAUGUUAGACCGAUAUGGAUUCAAAAACUUCUGAAGCAUCGUGUUGGACUUGUGAGAAUUGCAAUUGGGAUAGCGUGCUCUAUAAUCUGCUGCAUGGUAUCAAUGCUGGUUGAGACUCGUAGAUUGAAUCUUAUUAAAACACGUGGAGAUGCUGAACCAUUUCCAAUGAGCACAGUAUGGCUGGUUCCACAGUUUUUCCUGAGAGGACUCGUAGAAGGACUGGUUGCUGAUGGCUUAGCUGAUUUUUAUAAUAUCCAUGUAGAUGAAUCUUUGGAACAUUAUGAAUCGCCAUUCAACGAGUCUGCAAUUGGCGUUGGGAAGUUCCUGAGUGCGGCACUUGUUCUUACUUUGUCAGGCAGCUGGUUUCAUGACACUCUGAAUACAAGUCAUCUGGGCAAAUAUUACAUGCUGUUAGGUAUUCUAAGUUCUGUGAACCUAUGCUUUUAUCUGCUUGUCAUGUACGCCCACGCAUGGAAAGCCCUUCACGUGAGAGGUUCCCCUGCCCCUGAAGUCUCAACUUAGAUCACUCUCCUCUCUACGCUUCAAUAUUGAAAUUGCCGGCCAAGGUAGCUUUCAAGCUGUCAAACUCCAGUUGAAACAUUGAAUACGAACACGCCCUUAUUGAAUCUCUUCAGAUUAGUGAUUGCUGAGAGAUUUGAAGAAAUUGGUAUGAAACACAAUCCCGAAAUUAAUUUCAGAGCUGUAUUAAUGACUUUUUACAGGUUCCAUCAGAACGAAAAUUACUAA
Long non-coding RNA from Populus euphratica (Euphrates poplar), 2089 nucleotides. RefSeq lists it as uncharacterized. The transcript has 6 exons. NCBI's taxonomy places the organism in Eukaryota, Viridiplantae, Streptophyta, Magnoliopsida, Malpighiales, Salicaceae. The record is from RefSeq and is a predicted model, not a curated record.